RNAcentral lists this long non-coding RNA (230 nucleotides) under Homo sapiens (human). RNAcentral's name for it is "non-protein coding lnc-PEX7-3:1". Lineage: Eukaryota; Metazoa; Chordata; Mammalia; Primates; Hominidae. The record is from RNAcentral.
GAACAUGUGUAUAGUCUCAUGCAAAUCAUCUUUUUAUUUCAUUUUUUAUUUUUGAGACGGAGUCUGACUCUUUUGCCCAGGCUGGAGUGCAGUGGCACGACCUCAGCUCCUCAGCUCACUGCAAUCUCCACCUCCCACUUCAAGCAAUUCUCCUGCCUCAGCCUCCCGAGUAGCUGGGAUUACAGGCAUGUGCCACUACACCCAGUUAAUAGAGACAAGCUCUUGCUAUG